This 409-nucleotide ribosomal RNA is filed under the name bacterium enrichment culture clone ALO1_GLFRUDD03FMUEZ. Its description in RNAcentral is "bacterial SSU rRNA". It matches the Rfam family "Bacterial small subunit ribosomal RNA", at positions 9 to 416 of the family's 1533-position model. The record is from RNAcentral.
GAGUUUGAUCCUGGCUCAGAUUGAACGCUGGCGGCAUGCCUUACACAUGCAAGUCGAACGGCAGCACGGGAGCUUGCUCCUGGUGGCGAGUGGCGAACGGGUGAGUAAUGCAUCGGAACGUAUCCUGGAGUGGGGGGAUAACGUAGCGAAAGUUACGCUAAUACCGCAUAUUCUGUGAGCAGGAAAGCGGGGGACCUUCGGGCCUCGCGCUCUUGGAGCGGCCGAUGUCGGAUUAGCUAGUUGGUGAGGUAAAGGCUCACCAAGGCGACGAUCCGUAGCAGGUCUGAGAGGAUGAUCUGCCACACUGGAACUGAGACACGGUCCAGACUCCUACGGGAGGCAGCAGUGGGGAAUUUUGGGACAAUGGGGGCAACCCUGAUCCAGCCAUGCCGCGUGAGUGAAGAAGGCC